CGUGGCAGAUAGCUCAGUAACACGUGGCCAAACUACCCUGUCGAUCGGGACACCCUCGGGAAACUGAGGCUAAUCCCGGAUACGGCUCGCUGCCUGGAGUUGGCGCGAGCCCGAAACGUUCAGGCGCGACAGGAUGUGGCUGCGGCCGAUUAGGUAGACGGUGGGGUAACGGCCCACCGUGCCGAUAAUCGGUACGGGUUGUGAAAGCAAGAGCCCGGAGACGGAAUCUGAGACAAGAUUCCGGGCCCUACGGGGCGCAGCAGGCGCGAAACCUUUACACUGCACGCGAGUGCGAUAGGGGGACUCCAAGUGCGAGGGCAUACAGUCCUCGCUUUUCACCACCGUAAGGAGGUGGUAGAAUAAGUGCUGGGCAAGACCGGUGCCAGCCGCCGCGGUAAUACCGGCAGCACGAGUGAUGACCGCUAUUAUUGGGCCUAAAGCGUCCGUAGCCGGCCGGGCAAGUCCAUCGGGAAAUCCGCACGCCUAACGUGCGGGCGUCCGGUGGAAACUGUUCGGCUUGGGACCGGAAGAUCCAGAGGGUACGUCUGGGGUAGGAGUGAAAUCCUGUAAUCCUGGACGGACCACCGGUGGCGAAAGCGCUCUGGAAAGACGGAUCCGACGGUGAGGGACGAAAGCUUGGGUCACGAACCGGAUUAGAUAC
Molecule: ribosomal RNA, 661 nt
Filed under: halophilic archaeon
Lineage: Archaea; Methanobacteriati; Methanobacteriota; Halobacteria; Halobacteriales
Description: bacterial SSU rRNA
Rfam family: Archaeal small subunit ribosomal RNA
Source: RNAcentral